Molecule: ribosomal RNA, 253 nt
Filed under: uncultured bacterium
Lineage: Bacteria
Description: partial 16S ribosomal RNA
Rfam family: Bacterial small subunit ribosomal RNA
Source: RNAcentral
UACAGAGGGUGCGAGCGUUAAUCGGAAUUACUGGGCGUAAAGCGUGCGUAGACGGUUAUUUAAGUCGGAUGUGAAAGCCCCGGGCUCAACCUGGGAAUUGCAUUCGAGACUGAAUAGCUAGGGUACGGUAGAGGGAAGUGGAAUUUCCGGUGUAGCGGUGAAAUGCGUAGAUAUCGGGAGGAACAUCAGUGGCGAAGGCGGCCGCCUGGAUCGAUACUGACGCUGAGGUGCGAAAGCGUGGGGAGCAAACAGG